GACGAACCGUGCGAACGUUAUUCGGAAUCACUGGGCUUAAAGCGCGUGUAGGCGGCCCGGCACGUCAUCGGCUGAAAUCCCCCGGCCCAACCGGGGAACGGGCCGUGAUACGACCGGGCUGGAGGGGGGUAGGGGGCGCCGGAACUCACGGUGGAGCGGUGAAAUGCGUUGAGAUCGUGAGGAACGCCCGUGGCGAAAGCGGGCGCCUGGGCCCCGCCUGACGCUGAGACGCGAAAGCCAGGGGAGCGAACGGG
This 254-nucleotide ribosomal RNA is filed under the name uncultured bacterium. RNAcentral describes it as "partial 16S ribosomal RNA". It matches the Rfam family "Bacterial small subunit ribosomal RNA", at positions 524 to 776 of the family's 1533-position model. The record is from RNAcentral.